ACAAUUUUAAUUACUUAAUGAAAACGAAUUUUCAGCAAUUAGCACAAGUACGUGCUCGUCACCUCACGUACGAGGCAUUUCAAAUAUCACAAUACCAAAUCCUAAGGGGAGAUUCUCUCGUACAAGGUUAGACAAGCCACUUAGCUUGGACCGGCUCAAUAAUCAACCCGAAAACACAUUCUUUCCAUGACUAUUCGACUCCAAAUGUCC
This 210-nucleotide long non-coding RNA is filed under the name Nicotiana benthamiana. RNAcentral's name for it is "long non-coding RNA (NBEN_LNC011694)". Lineage: Eukaryota; Viridiplantae; Streptophyta; Magnoliopsida; Solanales; Solanaceae. The record is from RNAcentral.